Molecule: ribosomal RNA, 253 nt
Filed under: uncultured bacterium
Lineage: Bacteria
Description: partial 16S ribosomal RNA
Rfam family: Bacterial small subunit ribosomal RNA
Source: RNAcentral
UACAGAGGUCUCAAGCGUUGUUCGGAUUCAUUGGGCGUAAAGGGUGCGUAGGUGGCGCUGUAAGUCGGGUGUGAAAUUUCGGAGCUUAACUCCGAAACUGCAUUCGAUACUGCGGUGCUUGAGGACUGGAGAGGAGACUGGAAUUCAUGGUGUAGCAGUGAAAUGCGUAGAGAUCAUGAGGAAGACCAGUGGCGAAGGCGGGUCUCUGGACAGUUCCUGACACUGAGGCACGGAGGCCAGGGGAGCAAACGGG